Molecule: unclassified non-coding RNA, 637 nt
Filed under: Hevea brasiliensis (rubber tree)
Lineage: Eukaryota; Viridiplantae; Streptophyta; Magnoliopsida; Malpighiales; Euphorbiaceae
Source: RNAcentral
AAGAAAAUAACCCGAGAGAUAUCAAGGAGACAUCGAAACUACAGACCCUCUCUGCGAUCUCUGAUUUAAACGACAUUGUUCUUAUAUCCGUUAAACAACCAUGUCUUCUGGUUUCAGUGGCGAUGAAACUGCACCUUUCUUUGGCUUCCUUGGCGCCGCUGCCGCUCUCGUCUUCUCCUGUAACCAUAAUUCUAUAAUUUGCCUUUGCUUAUUCUCUCUCUCUUUGUUUUUGAAUUAUAUGAAUAAUUUUAGAUCUUACUGUGUGAUUCUUUUUAUUUUAACUUCUACGUGUUUGGUUUCCGAUAAUCUGAUGGAAAAUGAAGUUAUUUAGGUUUCUGAUCGUUCGAUCGAUCUGAUGCAAUCAUAUGCCUACGUAAUCUCAUCUUAUUUAUGAUUCGCUGUUUCUUAAUCUUAAUUCCAAGUUUUGUCUUCGAUUGGGAGUGUUAUUGAUGUUGCUGUAGAUCUUUGGUUAUAUUGCUUAUUGGUUUUGUCAGAGUUCAUUGUUGUUGCCUAUUGUAUAAGCUCGCUUAGUUUGGGAUCCAUUGCUUGUUUCUCAAUUACUUAUCGAAGACGAGGGACACAGAUCAUUGAGAUUCAAAUUGAACACUGUUUUAUUUGCAAAGAUUAAUUUGCGAAA